GUCCUAGCCGUAAACGAUGGGCACUAGGCGUGGGAGGCAUCGACCCCUUCCGUGCCGCAGCUAACGCGAUAAGUGCCCCACCUGGGGACUACGGCCGCAAGGUUGAAACUCAAAGGAAUUGACGGGGGCCCCGCACAAGCGGUGGAGUAUGUGGUUCAAUUCGAUGCAACGCGAAGAACCUUACCAGGGCUUGACAUGCUUUGGACAGGCGUGGAAACACGCCCUCCCUUCGGGGCCGAAGCACAGGUGCUGCAUGGCUGUCGU
RNAcentral lists this ribosomal RNA (264 nucleotides) under uncultured bacterium. RNAcentral describes it as "partial 16S ribosomal RNA". It matches the Rfam family "Bacterial small subunit ribosomal RNA", at positions 793 to 1055 of the family's 1533-position model. The record is from RNAcentral.